Molecule: transfer RNA, 790 nt
Filed under: Bradyrhizobium sp.
Lineage: Bacteria; Pseudomonadati; Pseudomonadota; Alphaproteobacteria; Hyphomicrobiales; Nitrobacteraceae
Description: partial miscellaneous RNA
Source: RNAcentral
CUCUCAUUAUCAAUGUCCACACACUCGGCAGAAUGUUGUCUGCAGAAUUACCUUGCGGCACGCGCCCUCGAUGAACGCUAUCUGCAGCCGGACAAUGAUUAGAAAGACCAGCUUGCUUCGUAAGAUCGUUCCGAUAGCGAGGCGGUCAAGCUUCGCUAAAAGGAUCAUUUACAACUCGCUUGUCUCUCCAGAAGCAGCCUUGUGAGCUGCCCUUGAAAGACGCACGAGCGCCGAAAUGAUCCGGAGAUAAUGAAGUCUCGCGUAGCAAUUGCUUGCUGCACGAUCCAACUCGGAUCGAUCUCCUCUUUACGAUGUCAGAAAUCACGCAACUUGCUGUCUAUCCAGACUAGCAAGAUGCGAAGUGAUGUUUCGCGGACGAUUUAGGUGCACGAUCAGUCGAUGAUCAAACCAUCUGGUGGAGCCAGACGGGAUCGAACCGACGACCUCAUGCUUGCAAAGCACGCGCUCUCCCAGCUGAGCUAUGGCCCCGUAACCAGAAGACGAAUGCUCACUCGAUGAAAGUGGUGGGCCUGGGAAGACUUGAACUUCCGACCUCACGCUUAUCAAGCGCGCGCUCUAACCAACUGAGCUACAAGCCCCUAACGCAUAUCCAGUCAAGGACCAGGGACUCUGCAAACUUGCAGCCCCAGCGCGUGUUCGUCCGCGAAGAAAGAGAAACGAAGACGGCGAAAUCCCGCCAAUGCAGCUCAACAAUCCUGACGAUUGUUGGCCACUGAUGUUUCUAAAACGAUCCGAUAGUGAGCCGAAGCUCGCUGAAGGAUCAUCCUUA